UUCAUCAAUAUGAAACCCAACGUUUUUAAAUAUGACUAAAUUAUGCACUCCGUCAACUUCACUGUUUGAUUUUCUGUUAAAUUGUUGUCAAAUUAUGCACACCAUUGUCAUUUUCUUUAUUGUUUUCUUUAACACAUCAACAUAAAAAUGACUAUUCUACAUAUCACAUCACCAAUUUAACAUAAAAUCAAACAAUGAAGUUGAAGGAAUACAUAUUUUACUCAUAUUUAAAAACGUUGGGUAUCAUGUUGAUGAA
This 256-nucleotide microRNA precursor is filed under the name Prunus dulcis (almond). RNAcentral's name for it is "sRNA ncRNA". Lineage: Eukaryota; Viridiplantae; Streptophyta; Magnoliopsida; Rosales; Rosaceae. The record is from RNAcentral.